CCUACGGGAGGCAGCAGUGAGGAAUAUUGGUCAAUGGACGCAAGUCUGAACCAGCCAUGCCGCGUGCAGGAAGACGGCUCUAUGAGUUGUAAACUUCUUUUGUACGAGAAAAAACGCAGAUACGUGUGUCUGUCUGAAUGUACCGUAUGAAUAAGGAUCGGCUAACUCCGUGCCAGCAGCCGCGGUAAUACGGAGGAUUCAAGCGUUAUCCGGAUUUAUUGGGUUUAAAGGGUGCGUAGGCGGUAUGUUAAGUUAGGGGUGAAAUGUCGCGGCUCAACCGUGGAAUUGCCUUUGAUACUGUUAGGCUUGAGUGCAGUUGCGGUAGGCGGAAUGUAUGGUGUAGCGGUGAAAUGCUUAGAGAUCAUACAGAACACCGAUUGCGAAGGCAGCUUACCAAACUACUACUGACGUUGAGGCACGAAAGCGUGGGUAGCAAACAGGAUUAGAUACCCGAGUAGUC
Molecule: ribosomal RNA, 460 nt
Filed under: uncultured bacterium
Lineage: Bacteria
Description: partial 16S ribosomal RNA
Rfam family: Bacterial small subunit ribosomal RNA
Source: RNAcentral